GCUCAGGAUGAACGCUGGCGGUAUGCUUAACACAUGCAAGUCGAACGAUGUUUUAGGACAUAGUGGCGGACGGGUGAGUAACGCGUAAGAAUCUACCUUCAGGUUUGGGACAACCAUUGGAAACGAUGGCUAAUACCGAAUGUGCCGAGAGGUGAAAGGCUUGCUGCCUGAAGAAGAGCUUGCGUCUGAUUAGCUAGUUGGUGGGGUAAGAGCCUACCAAGGCGACGAUCAGUAGCUGGUCUGAGAGGAUGAUCAGCCACACUGGGACUGAGACACGGCCCAGACUCCUACGGGAGGCAGCAGUGGGGAAUUUUCCGCAAUGGGCGAAAGCCUGACGGAGCAAUACCGCGUGAGGGAGGAAGGCUCUUGGGUUGUAAACCUCUUUUCUCAGGGAAGAAAAAAAUGACGGUACCUGAGGAAUAAGCAUCGGCUAACUCCGUGCCAGCAGCCGCGGUAAUACGGAGGAUGCAAGCGUUAUCCGGAAUGAUUGGGCGUAAAGGGUCCGCAGGUGGUAGUGUAAGUCUGCUGUUAAAGAGUCACGCUCAACGUGAUAAGAGCAGUGGAAACUACACAACUAGAGUACGGUAGGGGCAGAAGGAAUUCCUGGUGUAGCGGUGAAAUGCGUAGAUAUCAGGAAGAACACCGGUGGCGAAAGCGUUCUGCUAGACCUGUACUGACACUGAGGGACGAAAGCUAGGGGAGCGAAUGGGAUUAGAUACCCCAGUAGUCCUAGCCGUAAACGAUGGAUACUAGGUGUGGCUUGUAUCGACCCGAGCCGUACCGUAGCUAACGCGUUAAGUAUCCCGCCUGGGGAGUACGCACGCAAGUGUGAAACUUAAAG
This 841-nucleotide ribosomal RNA is filed under the name uncultured bacterium. RNAcentral's name for it is "bacterial SSU rRNA". It matches the Rfam family "Bacterial small subunit ribosomal RNA", at positions 22 to 906 of the family's 1533-position model. The record is from RNAcentral.